This 253-nucleotide ribosomal RNA is filed under the name uncultured bacterium. RNAcentral's name for it is "partial 16S ribosomal RNA". It matches the Rfam family "Bacterial small subunit ribosomal RNA", at positions 524 to 776 of the family's 1533-position model. The record is from RNAcentral.
UACGAAGGGGGCUAGCGUUGCUCGGAAUCACUGGGCGUAAAGCGCACGUAGGCGGAUCUUUAAGUCAGGGGUGAAAUCCUGGAGCUCAACUCCAGAACUGCCUUUGAUACUGAGAAGCUUGAGUCCGGGAGAGGUGAGUGGAACUGCGAGUGUAGAGGUGAAAUUCGUAGAUAUUCGCAAGAACACCAGUGGCGAAGGCGGCUUACUGGCCCGGUACUGACGCUGAGGUGCGAAAGCGUGGGGAGCAAACAGG